This 101-nucleotide non-coding RNA is filed under the name unclassified sequences. The record is from Rfam.
UUAAAGAUACUUGCGUCCAGUCCUAAAGCCGAGCGUGAUAAAACCGUCGCAGCAAAGGAGGGCGCCCCGCAGCGAUCCUGGGGGUGGUGAGAUUCCAAUGA